Long non-coding RNA from Xenia sp. Carnegie-2017, 200 nucleotides. RefSeq lists it as uncharacterized. NCBI's taxonomy places the organism in Eukaryota, Metazoa, Cnidaria, Anthozoa, Malacalcyonacea, Xeniidae. The record is from RefSeq and is a predicted model, not a curated record. The transcript is spliced from 2 exons.
UUAAGACCAAGACGCUUCUACGUAUAGAACAGAUUAAGGUCAAGCGCGAGAAAACAACAACACUGAGAAAAUCAGACAAGUUUAUCGGCCGCAUAAAACAUUUGAAUUUAAGAUGGAACAAGCUCCACCAUACACCUUUGGAAAACAGAAUCCUGAAUACGUACCUGAUCAAUCUAUUCAUCAAUCUCAGCCUGGUUACC